GCGAUUGCGAUGAUUGGAAUUGCCACCGAGGGAGAGGCGAUGGUUAGAGGCUGUGGAAGACCGGUGAGGCGGCGGAGGAGGAAACGAGGAGAGACGCUUGGUGCCUCCGGCACCGCCCCCACGGGCGCCGCCUCGGCCGCCGAGCUUGGAGGAGCCACCGUACAUUGGUUGGUCUCGUCAAAUAUUUGGGCCUCUGAGUGUACAAUCAAUAACAAAGUAUCUGCGGCGAGACAGAGAGCAUGAGAGAGGAAGUAAAGAGAGUGGAGUAGUUCUGGGUAUGGAGGUGGAUGAAGAGAUUCAAUUGGGAGAAGGGGGAGCUGGCGGAGGGAAUGAAUUUGGGAUAAAGUUGCGAUUUGCCAAAAAUCCCCUUUUCUCCCAAACAAUCUCUUAUUGAAAUUUGCUUAAAAAAAAUAAAAGGCCAAAGGCGCAUUUGAG
Molecule: unclassified non-coding RNA, 435 nt
Filed under: Hevea brasiliensis (rubber tree)
Lineage: Eukaryota; Viridiplantae; Streptophyta; Magnoliopsida; Malpighiales; Euphorbiaceae
Source: RNAcentral